CUAUUUGCUUUUGAUCUCCUAUUUUGUGUAGACAACCUUAAGAAGAAAAUUUCAGUCUCUGAUACUCCUGUCUGAGAAGGACUUUGAUUGGAAAAAGCAGCAUCACCUGCAGAGGUGCAAGGAUCCUCCCAAGAAGGACAGGUGUGUUCACAAAGCUCCUUCCCCACUCUGGGCUGGGUGCUGGGCUCACCACAAGCUUCCUCCACAGCUUCCAUCAGCAUUUUGGUUUUAUGUCUAACAGAGACUUUGGACCUGAUGUGGGGCAUAGAAGUGAUUCAUUUUUCUCAAAGGCUUUAUAACAAAAAACGAAAAGCCCCCCUCCACCACCACUACAUUUGCUGACUGUCAGCCCAGGCCAAACUUUCCCUCAGUUGAUGAUUGGGGCCUUAUCUGUGCAUAGAUAAGACGCAUCUCUGACCAGCCAUCCCUCACCCACAGUUCCCAGACCUGACAGAGCAGUUUCCACAACAAAGCAAGGUUGUGUCUCCAUAACACCAAUCUUGCCAGUUGUAACAGAAAAGCCUCCUGUUUAGAAUGGGGAAGAAAGAGGGAGAGAAAAACCAUAGAAGUUGCUCAGGAAAGAAAGACCACCCUCCAAGGAAUUAUACAGAUAUAUUCACUUUCUUUGAGCACAUUGAGACCAAUAUUGGUAGAUGGGGGAAUCAAAGGAAGAAGGGUCCAUGAAAUAUUCAGAUACACUUGACCUCAGAUACUCUUGAGUGUCCAGGCCUCCUAUCACUGCAUAAUUCAAAUGUAGCUUAGCCCACUAUGGUGGAACACACCUAUAAUCUCAGUGAUUCAUGAGGCUGAGGCGGGAGGAUCCCAAGUUUGAGGACAGUCUGGGCAACUUAGCAAGACCGUGUCUCAAAUUAAAAAUAAAAAGAACCUGGGAUGUAACUCAGUAGUAGAGUUCCCCUGGGUUCAAUCCCCAGGGAUACAAGGGGGCGGGGGGAGGCAGGUAAAACUGCUUCUUCAGAUACUCCCUGAGCUGGUAGCACUACAAAGGACCAAAAAAAGAAAGAAAGAAAAAAAUCAUCCCUCUGUGUGGUGAGUCAAUGCUCCACAUCGUGUCUUUUGAAAGCAUCAUGUCUACAAGGCAGGCUCCCAUUAUUUUAGGUGUUCAGUUUACGACUGGAAUUCAAAGAAACCACUUAUUUUGUAAUCAUCUCCAGUUUUUUUCCCUGCCCAGUUAUAUGGAUUUGAUGAUUUUUUUUUUACUUACUCCAUGUAUAUGAGUGUAAUUUUUUUUCCGAGUGAACCAUUUCUAUAUUCAGAGCUUUUAAAGCAAUUGUUGAGGUAUAAUCUACAUAUAGCAAAAUGAACACACAGCUUAAGCCUUUAGCUCAACAAGUUAAUGUAUGUAUAUAAGCUUACUGAAUAAGUUGCAAAUCAGGACUUAGAAUAUUUCUACCCCACCCCAUUUCUCCCAGUCUCCCAUGUCUCCCUUGUUCCAGUCCCCUGCCAGGCAAGAAUCCCCCACUGCCUCCAAGAUAAAACCCCUCUCCCCAACCCUCUCAGCCUAGGUCAUUGUUGCCUGUCCUUGAACUUCGGGUAAAUGGAGAGUACUUUGGCUCAGAUUUUUUUCCGUGAGAUCUGUCCAGUGUGCACAGCUGUGACUUGUUCUCUUACUUGCUUUGUAGGUAUACAGUUUUUCUUUUCUUUCUUUUUUUCCCCCCUUACCUGAGGCUUCAGUUCCCUUCCAAGUUUAGUGUAAGCCAAGAAUAAUCAAACCACUGCAUCUGGAUCAGAGACAAAUGACUUCCCAGAUUGGCCAGUUUUGUAGGGAACUUCAAUUGAAAUUCAAACAGUCAUCCACCGCUUCUCAAACCGGUUUCCCUACAUAAUGAGGAGCCCGAGGGUGACUACAGGAGGAAAGGUUAAACUGAAAAACUUGAAGGGUCCACUUUUAAAGAUAAGCAUACAAGAAUUCCUAAGAAGUGCAUAAAAGUUUGAGGCAGGUUUUAGUGGGAAAAAUCAGUCUGACUGCAGAAUCCACUUUAAUUCAAGCCCAUUUCCUGCAAUCUUUUCCAUUCCCUUUUUUCUUCUGAAGGAGAAGCAGAACAGUAGAGAUAUGCACCUAAUCCUCCACAGUCAUGGAGCAUCAUCCUUGUAAUCCAGAGUUGGUGGACAUAAAAACUACAAGGUAGCUUGUCAGAAAUACCCAUCCCCAAGCCUAUCCUGAGCAAAUAGGACUUGGGGAACAGGGCAAGGUAUACUAUUUAACAGCGACCAGGAAAUAUUCCUUAUUAAAGGUUGAGAUCUGCUGUUCUUGAGAAAGGCACAGUUUGGCAUGUAUUUCUAGUGGAUCUUGGAGGGCAAAUCUAAAAAUGAAUAGUAUAUUACCCAGCUCCUACUAGUCCAUAUUUUAAUUGACUUGUUUUGUUUUUUUGGAAGAAAUAAAGACAGAGGGUAUGCAAACACACCUUCUAGGUUUGUCUGCAUCCUUGGUUCACAAGUUCUAUUUAAAAUAAAUGAUGACUCCUAUAAAAUAUAAUUUAGAAUCAUGAAAACAAUAGAGAUUAAAAUGUUAAACCCUCAGAGGGAAAAAAUAAUUAAGUAUUCACAAUUUGAUCGAUUUAUUCGUCCUAUCAAGAUCAUUCAGAAAGAAAACAUUUAAUUUUAUUUUGUUCAUGUAAACAUGGACAGACAGGAUGCUGAGUGUGUCAGAGGAGCUCAGGGAGGGCCUUGGAGCUUAUUUUUGCUAACAUGAAAAUAUUAGGCUUAGAGAUUGAAUGUUUUAAAUCAAUAAAAUAGAUCUGAAAAAAAAAAGAAAAGAAAAUAGAUCUGUAAAUUUAAAUUUUAUUUUUUAAUUUCAAAACCUCUUCCUGAUAGGCCAUAAUAUAUAGCGAAAGUAUAAAAAAAGAAGAAGCUACAAUAUGAAUUAUGUGAUCCUGUUUUUAUAAAACUCAGCAAAAUAAUCUAUGUUUAUAUAUGUAUACAUGUAUAUUUAUGCAUACAUAUAUACAUAUACUCACAUACAUUCAUAUACAUGUAUAUAUGAUUGACCUCUCUCCCCAAAUAUAUGAAUGAUCCUGAUAAAAUGAAUAAAUGGCUGAAAUUGUAAAUACUUACUUUUUAUCUCUGAGGAUUUAAAUUUUUACACACACACACACACACACACACACACACUUAGGAGGUUAGCAAUGGUUAUUCCUAGAGGUGAGAUUAUAAGAUUGGGGGUAGGGAGUAAUGAACAAAGAGGGAUUUUCACUUUUUAUUACUAAAUAGUAGUAAUAGUUUUUGAAAUAAUUUUAUCCCACAAUAUGUACUGUUCUUUAGUUUUAAAAGUCAAAAUUAAAAGAAUUUGUUCAUGUGUAAGCAGUUAAGUGGAGUUGACUUAAAUUAGAGGAAAUGGCAUGGUUUGACUUUGACAGGACAGAGAAGGAGCUGGGUUCAGGUCUGCAGGCCUGCCUUCCAAUGUGAGCAUCUCCCAGCAUUUGGUCCUAGGGCUUCUUUCUGAGGGAUCCUAGAAAGCCCAGACACUGGCUAGAGGAGAAAAUUGGACUUCUGGUUCUAAUCUGGUCACAGAUCUAAAGUGUAGUCCAUUUCCCUUAGUGACAAUCCUUCCUCGGUAGGACAUUUUGCAGAAAUGAAAGUUUCUGAAAAUACACAGUUUUCAAAGAAAAGAGAUGACAAAAUCAGUUGCCUCUUUGCACCAGCCUGUGUUAUCUGGAUAAGGAUAAUCACAGCAAACCCAUGAAUCUGACUGCAGAAUCCGCUUUAAUUCAAGCCCAGCUCAGCUGUCAACUGUAACAACCUAAAAGUUGUAAACACACGACCUAUCACUAAGUCCUCAUCACCAGAGACCCGAGGUCAGUGGUAUGGCUCCACGUUGUGCAGUGUUGUCUUGAUUUCCUUAACUCAUUUCACCCUGGGUGUUACCAGAUGCCCAGGAUUAGAGGAUGACUUAGUCUAGAAGGUGUUCACAGGGAGACGCUGUGGUUAUGCGCCCCCUGGUGGCAGUGGUAAACAUCCUCCUGGGGGAUUUCUGUAUGCUUAAAAGGUCAACACCUUCCUGCCCUGACUGGUUCACCUACUCUUAGAUUGAGCCCCGGAUCUCUUUUCUUUCCACAGUUCAUCUCAGGUUAUAUUAAGAUGUUAUUGAGGGCUGGCGUGGAAGAGCUCAGUGGAAGAGCACUUGCCUAGCAUGUGUGAGGCACUGGGUUCAAUUCUCAGCACCAGAUACAAACAAAUAAAGACUCAUUAACAACUAAAAAAUAUUUUUUAAAAAAGAAAGAAAGAUGUUAUUGAAUAACCGGUGUGUCGUAUGUAGCACUUCCUGUCUCCAGAGUUUGUUUUGUUGGCGAGAUUUUUCUCGAAUUUUAUUAUCAAGCCAUACAACCUUCAUUUAGAUACUGAAAUAUUUCAUUUGUUUAAAAUUAAGUCAUUUUCAUUGAAGGCUUACACCUGUGGUAGACAGGAAUCGUCUAUAUCACUUCCUUUCCAUUCAAUUAAGUCCUUACUACUUGAAAUGUUGUCCCAGGAUUAAGAGAGACCAACAGUUAGUGGCAUCACCUGAGAGCUUAUUAGAAAUGCAGAAUUGCAGUCUUGCCACAGACCUGCUAAAUCAGAAUCCUCAUUUUUACAAAAGAUUCCUAUGCAUAUGAAAGUUGAGAAGCAUGCAUUUGGUUGAUGCUUCCUCAUAGAUUAGUCCACUAAUCAGGACUACAUAUCUGUUUUGUUUCAUAUUGCGUUGCUGUAACAAAAUGCCCAAGACUGAUUAACUUACAAAGAAGAUUAUUCAUUCACAAUGGCAGAGGGUCCAAACAACAUGGUGGCCAGAAUCCUAGUGAGCUCCCCCUGGCUGCAUCACAACAUUGUUGAAGUAGCAGAAAAGGAACUGGCUAUAUGCAGAAGAAGCCAAGUACAUGGGAUGGCCUCCUUAAUAACAAACUUGUCUCACAACUAAUCAAGUCCCAUAAAAGCUAAUGCUCCCAAGAGAAAUCAUCAAUCCAUUCAUGAGGGCGGUGCCCCCAUAGCUUAAUUACCUCCCACCAGGCUUUACAUCUUAAAGGUUUUACUACCUCAACACCACUGCACUGGGGACAGUUUUCAGCAUAUGAACCUUUGGGGGACACACUCAACCCAUAAUACAAGCCAGAGUAAUAACUACCCCUAUUUAUAGCUGAUGAUAACACUCAAGAUUACAUAAACUAUUUUACUUUUCCAUGUCUUGUUUGCAUUUAAACCCCUCUUAAAUAUGGAAAAUGUAACAAAACUGAAUUUUCAGUGUUUAAGCAUUUAAUCUAUAAGCAAUAAAUUCUGAAGUCCCUAAGGAAUAAGAAUUUCAGCUACAGCAUCAUUUAGCAAGGCACUAUAUUCCACAUAAUAUUCAAAAGAAAACUUUCUACAUCAAAUUCCACAUAUAUUGUAAACUAUGUUAGUUUGACGACAUGUGUAUAAUGCAUAUCAAGCACAAAAUAGGGCAUACCCUAAACUUUGAAAAAAGUAUCACCAAAAUUGGAGGAUACAAUCCUGCCUUGGCAUAAUUCCUUUUAAGUUUUUCAAAGUGUUCACCUACUUAGUAUGCAUUAGCCUAGUAGUCAUUAAAAUAUUAUGUCCAAGAAAUAUCAAAAUUUUUAAUACGAUGAGAAAACUUAUUAAAGGAAUGAAAAAAGUCCUUUGAGAUGUUAAAAAUUAGGUGCAAUCAUUUUCAUUGAACUUUUUAUUUUGAGCUAAUUUUAGACUUAUGGGAAGUUGCAAAAUAGUACUGAGAUUUGCUGCCAGCCCCUCAUCAAUCUUCUUUUAAUGGUAUCACUUUGGGUAUUUAUAUUAUAACAAUCAGAGCUAUGAAAUUAUUAUAGGUGCAAUACUAAUUUGCAGUCCUGAUUUAAAUGUCAUAAUUUUUUCUUCUAAUACUCUUUUUUUUUCUCUUCAAGUAUCCAAUUAAGAAUUCUACAUUGCUUUAAAUUAUUUUUGCUCCUCUGUUUUCUAAAAUCUAGGACAAUUCUUCAAUCUUUCCUCUUUCAUGACUGACACUUUUGAAGCAUACUGAGAGUCUAUUGCAUGGAAUGUCCCUUAUUAAGAGGUUUUCUGAUAUUCUUAUGAUUUUUAUGAAGUUAUGCAUUUUUUAAUUAUUAUUCUUAUUUGUUCGACUUAGUUGUACAUGACAUCAGAAUGCAUUUCAAUUCAUCGUACACAGAUGGAGCACAACAUUUCAAUUCUCUGGUUAUACACGGUGUAGAGAUGCGCUGUUCGUGCAAUCAUACAUUUUCUUAGGGUAAUGAUGUCCAUCUUGUUCCAUCAUCUUUCCAACCCCCUUAACCCCUCCCCACCCUCCCUUUUGCCCAAUCCAAAAUUCCUCCAUUCUUCCCAUGUGCUCCCCACCCAUCAUAGAUCAACAUCCACUAAUCAGAGAAAACAUUUUGGUCUUUAGUUUUGGGAGAUUGGCUUUGAAGUUAUGCAUUUUUUUUUUUUUUUUUUUUUGCAGUGAAAUGACACCAUGUUUUUCUCUGUGCAACCUUCCAAGGGAUUCAUGGUGUCAGUACUAUUUCUUAUAAUGGGUGAUGAUAAACUGGAUUACUUGGAAUUAAUAUUUUGGGUAGAUACUUAGUAACUACACACAUCUUGUUUCUCCUCAAAAUUCCACAGUCAUUUUAGUAUCUAUUGAUGGAUCUUUCUGCAACAAUGAUUACCGUGGGACUUAAAUGUCUUGUGAAAAGUUACAUGCCAUUUUCCUGAAGCAGUGAAUGACUACUGGAGAAGAGUAAAAUGUGUGUAAAUAGACUGGAAAUUUGAAGAGGAAAGGAGGCAAUGUUCAAGCAAAAAAACAAUGACCAAUGGGGAGAGGAGAGCAUAUGGCACCCUAUAAGUUAUAUUUCCAUCCUAUCUUGGUGUUCCAGAGAAGUGCUUCUGUAAGAAGCAGCAGGCAACUUCCAGACCUCCUAGCACCUAACUUCAAGACCUUAUUAUCUCCCAUGGAUAAGAUUUCCCAUGCAAGGAUCUGAAUCUACUAGCCAAUGACUCAGGAUUCUAAGACUUGAAGUCAUAUCUUUAAAAGACCCAGGGUGCUGUUCAGAGUGGAGCAAAACCAUAUACCUAUCUGUAUACCAAUCUUAUCUGCAAGUAAAGUAUAUAAAUCAAGAUGAGGCAGUUGUCUAUAAUAAAAUAGACUGCAUUUUAAUUUAUAAACCACCCACAUUUUAUUAGCAUUAGUAAAUUCCUUUGAUAGACACACAGCUUUUGUCUUUGGUUACUGGAGGUGUUUUACAUAAAGAACUCUUUGGUCAGAUCUAUUGAGGUGUUUUACAUGAAGAACUCUUUGGUCAGAUCUAUUGAGAAUUAUGCUGUGGGUGGUCUGCAGCUUCAAAAUGUCAUGGUUCACAGGUGUUUUGUGCAUUACACUCUCUUUAUAUUUAAGAGAAACUUCAGAGGCACUGAAAUUACAUUAGGAUCUCCUUGUUCACACAGCAAACCCCUUUAAUUCCCUACCAAGCAACAAUCCAUGGUUUCCAGAGCACUGGUAAAUAUUCCACCAAAUGCAGAGCUAGAAGGAACCAAGACCUAAUUCUGGAUUUUCCACAGAUGUGCAAGAUGAGAAAAUGUCACAUCUUCCAGAUGCCUUCAUUUUAUUAAGAAUACCAGUUUUAAAAAUGGGAGUUCAUAACCCACUUGAAUCAAAGUGUGAAAUAUGAUAUAUCAAGAACUAUGUAAUGUUUUGAACAACCAACAAUUAAAAAAAAAGAUGGAAAAAAAAAGAAUACCAGUUUUGUACAUGUAUGAAGACUUGAAUGGGUGUCAACAUACUUUGUGUACAGAGACAUGAAAAAUUGUGGUAUAUAAGUGUAUGAAGAAUUGUAAUGCAAAAAAAAACAAAGUACAUAUAAAGACAUAAAUUGGC
RNAcentral lists this long non-coding RNA (7840 nucleotides) under Marmota monax (woodchuck). The record is from RNAcentral. Lineage: Eukaryota; Metazoa; Chordata; Mammalia; Rodentia; Sciuridae.